RNAcentral lists this long non-coding RNA (513 nucleotides) under Equus caballus (horse). RNAcentral describes it as "lncRNA (ENSECAG00000056238.1)". The record is from RNAcentral. Lineage: Eukaryota; Metazoa; Chordata; Mammalia; Perissodactyla; Equidae.
CCGGAAGUGUCUGUGCUGGCGCCACGCGCGCUGAGGUCGCCAGGCGCCAAGACAGGAGGGAGCCGAUGGUGGGGAGGGGAGAGGAAUGAUUCCGAAGAUUCCAGGGAAUCGCUUGAUCAGACCUGUGUCUGUUGUGGAUCCCCAGCAGGAGCUGGCCUGGAGAUGCCGGAGCCAGCCUUGCUCUCCGAGGCUUCCUCUGCGAACAAUGCCAACAUUGAAGGCCUCGGUUGGAGUCUGCACAGUUGGAGAUCUUUGGUGCCACUUUAGACAUCUUUGGAUUUCAUCAAUCAAAUUGACUGCAAUUUUCCAUAAAAACCCUGAAUUUGGGUCAGAAAGUGGGCAAAGUAGAUAAAGAUCAUUCGAGCUGUCUUAUAAGAUGAUAAAUAGAUAUCCUUUCAGGCCAACAAUGCCAAAGUGCAGUUUUGUGAUUCCCUUCCAUGGGUUCUGAAUGCAGUGAGUCGAAACGAUUUAUACAUGUUUUCCCAUGGUCCAGGACACGUCUUUACAUACUCG